CCUCUCCUAACACAGGGAACACACACAUCACACUUGUCUCUACCCAAGCAGCCAUGCUGCUUUUUCUUAUCUAUGAGACUAAACGUUUUUUUUAAAGCAAAGUCUGGAAAGUAUGUGGAGUGAUUGUGGUUGUGGUUUACUGUCUCUCGCAGAUUCUCUGCGUUCUCUCUUUGUCUCUGUUGAAGAGAAUAAUCUACGGUGUCAUUAUCUUCUGAUGGAUGUUUUCCAGGAGCUUUGUCCUCUCAGGUGACCUGUUCUGUAAUGCACCCUGGGCUGUAGCUUACCAGCACUUCUGUCUUAAAGACGUCCCAACCAGUUCCCCUCAGUGAGAAACCCCUGCAUUAAGAGUCGUUAUAAAUCCAUUUGUUUAUACAAUAAAUAAAAUAAAUGGUCAUGUAUUGUAUAGGCCAUUGAAAUACAACCUAAUGAAUUCUCUAUGACUUGUUUCUUCCCCAAGCCUGUGGCGAGCUUCUCCUGUUCCUCUCUGCCCCAGCGUGCUCCAAUGGACGCCUCAAGUCAACUAUUCUCUUACACUCAAAAACAAUCUGAAGGUAGUUUGAUUACUUGCCAAAAUUCCAAGCAGCAGAUUUAGAUAAUUCUAACUAGUAGAGUGCUACCCGGUUAGGCAAAAGCUGUAAUGUCACUGCCAAGGUUUGAUUCUGGGCCGGGACAUUUCCUGUUUGUAUUUUACUCUGUCUCUCCUUACUUUCGUGUCUCUUUCAAUGUAAGAAAAAAGAAGACCCCCCCCCCAAAAAAAGAAAACUGUUUUUUAAACUGUUCCACGUGUUAGCAAAUACUGUUUGGCUUCAGUUGGAAGAAGGAAAUUACAGUAGUUACUUGGAAAUAUGACACAUCAUCAAAAUAUGUCUGAUGGCCAAUUAUAUUGACAAGGUCUGUACUUUUAGUUCCUUUUUCAGUUUAAUAGGGUGUCACCUCUGCCAGGUCAUGGUAUGAUCUGACAGAGGGUUUAACCACAGACAGAGGUCUGCAUGAUGAUUCGAACAUGCUUGCAUUCUCUCUUGACAGUGUUUUGAAGGUUUUGAUAGGUUCACCAGGGGGGAAACGUUUAAAUGUUACACCCCUUUGUCCCCCUUGGGAGAAUAGACUGUUCACAGGAAAACCACAAAAAUACAUCUUUGGUUUCUACCACAACGCAGAAUUAAAAAUAAUAGUUUAAUCCAUUCUUGCGUCCAUUACUUCAGCUUGUCUGUCUCCAGGUGUCAAAUAGUUCUGUAAUAAGCGUUCAUUGUUUUCACAAACAAGCUUAUAGUUGAUCAAUCAAGUAAAUAAAAACAAGAAAUAUAAUAAAUAAAAUAACUUAGAAUAUUAAAUAGGCUUUUAGAUUCAACUGUUUAAUUUAAUGUAAAUACAUAUUUUGUAGAGUCCUCUCAGUUCUUUUAAAUCCCCAGUUCUGGAUUUCCUGGAGAGUUUUUGAAGCCCUUUUUCACAAGUGUCUGUCUGAAAUGUGGUUUCAACACACGCUCAGGAAACAGUGUAAUCCCCUGGUCUCAAAGCGAUAUACAAUAACGUUACGAGGUUCUAAUCCCAGGAAGUAGGACUGUGAGGAAAGGCUUUUGUUCCAGCAACAAAAACUCCUUUGACGGUUUUGUUAUUUUACUCCAUCUGGCAGGGGAUGGACGGCGAGUUUCACCAGAGGGGAACUGACGGUGCAGGUGAAGUAAUACUGUUUUAUUGUUUCCAUUAGCUCCAUUUAAAGUGGAUUGAGACAUGUUUAAAUAUGUCAUCCUUUAGAUAAAUAACUGCAGGGCAAGAGAGAAUAACUGCGACUCAGAUGACCGGAGAGAGAGAGUGUGUAAUAGUUGUGCAGCAUGGCAGAGUAGAGACCAUAAGCCCUAAAAAAGCGAUGAGAUGAGAUAGCUGGUGGAUUGUAUGGCUGCUCAGAGAAAAUUGUUAUUUAAGUAGAUCAAUCUUUUAUUUAACAAGAAGAUUUUAUUUGACAAAGAAAGCCUUUCUAACCCAGUGGUGAACAGGAGAGGAUUGAAUAGGA
Hypomesus transpacificus is the source of this 2008-nucleotide long non-coding RNA. RefSeq lists it as uncharacterized. The transcript has 2 exons. NCBI's taxonomy places the organism in Eukaryota, Metazoa, Chordata, Actinopteri, Osmeriformes, Osmeridae. The record is from RefSeq and is a predicted model, not a curated record.